Long non-coding RNA from Cavia porcellus (domestic guinea pig), 12076 nucleotides. RefSeq lists it as uncharacterized. NCBI's taxonomy places the organism in Eukaryota, Metazoa, Chordata, Mammalia, Rodentia, Caviidae. The transcript is spliced from 2 exons. The record is from RefSeq and is a predicted model, not a curated record.
CCAUUUCAGGAUUUGGUUUUAGUUUGAUUCUAGGUCCUGCUCUCUGAAGCUUUUUUUUCUCAGUAAAUUAUGUGAGGUUUUUUAUUUAAGCAUGCAUUUAGGAAAAAGAUGGUGUAUAAAUAUUAAGUUAGUGUUCAAGAUUAGGCAGUACUGUAAUUUACAAUUGCUGUUAGUAACGGUUUCUUUCUGUUCUUAAAUUAGUACAUGUUUGCAGUACAUAAUGUUUACAUUCCUUGUAGGGAGUUGGUAUAAGUACUUAACACAUCUUUAUUCUUUUUCUCACCCCCUUUCCCUUUGUUCCCUCUACCCUCCCUCCAUCUCUUGAUCCCUUCUGCAUUUGAGAAAAUUCUUAUCUCACCACAUCUUAUCUAUCUUUUAUUUUGCUUUUUAUUUAUAAUUUUGAUUUCUCAGAGAAACCGUACAAUAUUUAUGCUUGUGUGUGUACGUAUCAAGGCCAUCCAUUUUCCUACAAAUAAUUUGUCUUUACGGCAGUGUAGUACACCAUUGUUUAUAAAUACCAUAUACCAUAUGGUAUAAGUACCAUAUUUUAAAAUCCAGUCAUCACUAAUACAUGUAUAGAUUGCUUCCAAAAUUUAGCUUUUGUGAAUUGUGCUACUAUAAACAUGAAUAUGCAUGUGUCGCUGUCAUAUGAUGUCUUUAGCUGUUUUGGGAAGACACCUAGAAAGGGAAGAGCUGGAUCAAAUGGACUUGUUUGUGAAAUCUUACUGUUGUUUUAAUUUGUGUUUCUCUAAUGGUCAGCAAUGUUUGAGCAUUUCUUUACAUAUUUACUGACCACUUGUACUUCUGUGAAGUGACUAUUUCACUUGCCCAUUUUUUUGACUUGAACUUCUAUUUUGGGGGAGUCUAAUUUUUUUAGUCCUAUCUAUGUUCUAGAUAUUGAUCCUGUGUCUGAGGUACAGUUGGCGAACAUUUUUCGUAUUUUGUAGUUUGUCUUUCCACUCUGUUGUUUGUUUCUUUGCCGUGCAGAAGCUUUUUAAUUCUUAAUGAUCUAAUUUGUUGACUGUGGGUGCUAUGUCCUGUACAGUGAGGGUUCUUUUCAGAAAGUCAUUGAUUACCGUAUGCCUGUGACUUCAAGAGUUUUACCUAUUUUGUCUUCCGACAGUUUAAUGUUUCUGUUUUAACAUUUAGUUCUUUGAUAUAUUUUGAUUUUAGUUUAGUUUGAGUUUAUGGUGAGAGAAUAUUAAUCUAAGGUUCAGCACUCUGCCUGUGCUAACUAGUGUUCCGAAAGACAUUUUUAAAAGAGGCUGUCUUUCCUCUAGUAGAUGUCUUUGGUCCCUUUGUCAAAGAUCAAAUAAUUGAAUAUGCUUGAAUAAGCUAGAUUUACCUCUACCAUAGUAUUAACUAUGGAGAUAAUGAGUUUCUACACAGCGCGUGACAGAGAGGUUAGGACAUUAAAGUUAAGGCUGCUUCAUGCUUUUAUUUAGGGGCCUGAUGUUUAAAUCCUUCUUUAAAGUCAAAACACACCAGGUAACACAUGUCAUCCUGGAGAACUCCUUCCAUUUGCAAUUAGAAAUGGGGAUGUUGAGAUAUUUCCCCUUCAGCCGUUCAACAAAGUCUGUAAAGUGAGGCCCCAACUCCAGGAUCCAGCAGAGCUGAUUUAGAUAGGUAAAGGCCAGCCCAGAAGAGUUGUGUGGUUAUCACAGCCCUAAAUGGAUGAGGUUGGAUGCCUUGUUAUGAAAUGAUGAGUCAUGAUUAUAGCAGAAAUCUUCCUCUUGAACCUCUGGAGUCUAGUGGAUGGAGGGAGGCUUGUCAAAAAAAAAAAAAGUCAAGAGCUUGACUUAUUCAAGAUUACUGAUCAUGGAAAUGGGAACAAAUGUCUCUCAGAGCAGAGGGAGAAAGAAGAUGGUCUUGCUCCCAACAAAGACUUUGCCACUGGCAAAGUCUGCUCUUCUCUGGGUUUUCUAAUUUCUGAUAGUAUUUUAGAGAUCUGAAUGCUAAGGUUCUAAGAAAGUAAAUAACCUGAUGUGUUGAAAUUUAUGUGCAGAAAGUUCACAUAUUAAACACUCUGCAACUAGAAAAUUCUUUUUAAAAGGUUUGUAGAUGUGAAUUAUAUGCAUAAUUGUAAAUAUCUUACAAGACAUGGAUUUCAUUUCAUGCCGAUUAGGUCACUCUUUUCUGAAAACAGACACAAUGGUGUUUAAUACCAUUUCUGGAGAAUAGCAGUGAGAUGCUUAUAUCCUUGCUAAAACUUGGCUGAGUGGAGGAAGCAUAGAUUCUUUGCAUACUUGCGUAAUUCACAAACGUCACUGAGGCCUUUAACUGAGAUUUCUGUGCUGCUUUCUUUCCACUGUUCUUAAAAUAGGACAGCUAAGUUGCAGGUUUUAAAAAAAUAAUUAUUUGGUGAUGUUAGUUGAACAAAUUACUGGUUUUGCUGUGGCAUUUCCAUACACACACAUGUCAUUUUUUGGUCAUAUGCACUCUCCUCCACCCUUCCUUUCUCUUUCUGGCUCGCCUUUUCUCUUCCCUUCCUAAGCAUCAGAUUUUAAAAAUAGUGUUGAAGUAUAAUUGACAUACAAUAUAUACGACAUAUUUAAACUGUCAUUUUUCCUUCCCAGUCUCCUACACCUAAGCAACUAGUGAUCUACUGUCUUUAGGUUAAAUCUUUAUUUUCUGAAGAUUUAUAUAUAAAGAGAAUCAUAAUCUAUGUCCUGGUGUUGCUUGGUUUCUUUCACUCACUGUAAUUAUUUUUCAAUUUGUCCUGUAUAUUCCUUUUUUUUUUUUUUUUUUUGGUAAGUCUACGCCAUUGUAUUGAUGUGUUGCAAUUUGGUUAUCCACCAUCUGUUGGACUGUGGAUUGUCCCGUCACAUUCAGUUUCACGUUAUUUCCAGUAGAGCUACUAUAAAGGUUUGUGAUCAGGGAAAUAUAUAUGAACAUAUAUUGCUAUAACCCAUGCGGCUCUUGAGGUUCUUGGGGUGAAGGGCUGCAAGAGGAUGAGAUACUAAUGAAGACACAAAGCUGGGGUCAGGUGGAGCACAAACCUCCAUCAGGAGGAAAGAUACUGGCUCCUCACUGCAGGGGCAUUGAUUUAUACAUUUUAGCAACUUAAUGUCAACAUGACACCUUGUUGUAUUAGCAACUCACUGUUCAGAUUGUCCUGGGGGUAGGUGUUCUCUGGGCUGAGGAGCUUCUUCAAGUGGCUUGCCCCAGGUGCUCUUUGUUCUUGGGAUGAUCAUGCCCCAGCCUUGCAUGUGUGGCUAAUUUCCAGCUUCAACCACUUCCAACAAUACAUUUCUUUUUUUCUUGGGUAAAUAUCAGAGAGUAGAUGACUGGAUCAUAUGGUAGAUGUAUGUUUAAUUUUCUAAGAAUUUCUUAUGUUAUUUGCCAGUGGUUGAACAGUUUUGCAUUCCGAUACAGAAUAUGAGAACUCCAAUUUCUCUGCAUUCUCAUCAACCUUGGUAUUUUUAUUUAUAUUUUUUGUUGUUGUUUGUUUUUGAGACAAGGUCUUACAGUGUAGUUCAGACUGGCCUUGAACUCACUAUGUAGCUCAGACUGGCUUUGAACUUGUGGCAACCCUCCUGCCUCAGCCUCCCGAAUGCUAGGAUUAUAGGUGUGUGAAGUGAGUUCAUGAACAGUAAUAGGAAUCUAAGCAGCCAAACUGAUAAAUUUGGAAUUAAAUUAGCUGAGCUCAGUGAUCACUCGCAUAGAGACCCCUGUUUCAGAGUCCCACUAAAUGGCACUGAACUGGAAAGUUACAGAGCUUUUAAAACAGAAAACCACAAAAAGACAUCCUGGAAACAGUUUAGCUAGAAUCCUACAUUAAAUUUUGGUUGACACCUGUAUCCUGCUUCUUUGUUGAGCAGGUUAAUUUUUCUCUUGUGGUACAGCUCAUUCUGCUUUUCUCAUGGGACUUGUACCUUAAGUAAUUUUACGUUCUCCUGAGUCAAAUACAGGGUACUAGUUAAAUGUAGGGCUCAAGAGGUGUCAAUGUGUAGCACUAUAUCUGACCAAAAAUUUGGUAUUUUUUAAAAUUCUAGUUAUUCUAGUGAUUUGUAGUUACUUCUUGUAAAAAAUCAAUUUUACUUAUACAUUUUAGGUAUACAUAAUGAUAGCAUUCAUCGUAAGGAAUUUGUAUCUGUACAUGAUAUAUCUUAAUGUUUCCCAUUCUCUUUUCUCCCUUCAAUCCCUCUUCCCAUCCUUAUUUACAAAAGCAGUGUUUCUAUUUGUACUUUUUUUUUGGUACCAGGAGUCAAACUCAUGAUCUUGUGCUUCUAGGCAAGCACUUGAGCCACUGAGCUAACUCCCUAGCCCUCCAUUUUUUUUCUGUUCUCUUUUUUCUUUUACCUUUGUUUGUGUCCCCUUUCCCCCUCCUUAGUUCCCCUUCCUAUUUGAACAUUUUCUUCCUAUUUCACAAUGUCUAUUAUAUGUUUUUGGUCCAUAUCUAUAUUUAUUUUAUACUUUUGAUUUCUCACACUGAUGUGUGUCCAAUUUAUUUCACUUAAGAUGACAGUCACAAUGUAUGUACUGUUGUUACUGCCAAUUGAUGUGCUUUAAAACUUUGUUGUAGUUUUUUCCUGCGUCUUCUUUUUCCUUAUAAGAAUAAAAUGGAUUUGAAAAAAAAAGAAUAGGAUCUUGAUGGCCUGGAGAUAUAGCUCAGUGGUAUAAGUGGCUGCCCAGCAAGCACAAGGUCUUGAGUUUCAAUCUUGGUAUCAAAAGAAAAAAAAAGAAUAUGGUCUUGAGGUGUAUCCAUUUAGGUAGAAAUGUCUCGAGCUUUUCUUUCUUUAGGGCAGAGUAGUACUCCAUUGUAUAAAAAAAACCCAUACCUUCUUUAUUCAUUCAUUGAUUGAUGGGCUUUUGUUUCCAAGAUUUAAUUAUUACAAACUGCUGCUCAAAGCAAAAUUGUGCAUAUAUUAUUGUGGUUUGAUGCUUUUGUUUAUUCCAGGAAAAUACCAAGAAGGGGAAUAGCUGGUUCAAAUGGAACCUCUAGUUUUAGUUUUUUGAAGAAUCUUCAUACUGAUUUAUUGGGAACCUGACCAAGAGUCCUGAUUGUCAAUAUCAGGAACCCGGCCAUAAGUUCUGACUGUCAGUCUCAAGAAUGCAAGAAAUGCAAAUUCAAGAAAAAAAUAAAAGUAUAAGACACAAGUGUAUUAUUCCAUCAAUGGGAAGUCAAUGUCUCUGGAUCAAUCUCCUUCACUCCCAAAGCAGCCACUAUUUAUUUAGUGUAUACAGUGAUAUGUGGAGCUAGUAAAGGAUUACGAUUCAUCAAGACAGAGGCUCAAGAGUACGUAGAUAAUCUUAUGCAUGGAAGUAUCUUGACCUUGAGUAUAAUUCUGAGAUAAUUUAGGAAUGAUAGAUGAUCUUAUGCUUAAAACAGUCAAUGGGAAAUCUCAGAUGAGUGGUACCAAUAAUCCCUUUCCUUCCCUUUAUCCCAGAGGGAAAUAUGCAGAAUUACCUAUAGGGAGAUGUGCAGAAUUUGUGGUUCCCAACAUUGAUUUCCACAGUGGUUUCACCAGUCUACACUCCCACCAACAGUGGAGAAAAGUUCCUUUUUCCACACAGCCCCGGCGGUUAAAUUUUUCCAUAUAUUUACUUGCCAUUUCUACUUCUUCAUCUGAGAAGUAUAUAUUCACUUCUUCAGAUGCCAAUUUUUGGAUUGGGUCUUUAAAUUUGGAAUGUCUGAUAUUUUUGAGUUCUUUAUAUAUAUUCUAGAUAGUAGUCCUUAAUCUGAGAUGCAGAUGGCAAAAUUUUUUUUCCACACUUGGGUUUUCUCUUCAGUUUGUUGGUGGUGGUUGUUGCUAUUCAAAAAAUUUUUAGUAAGAUUAAAUCCAGGUUGUUGGUUCUUUGUGGUAUUUCCUGUGUAAUCGGGGUUUUGUUCAUAAAGUUUUUGCCUAUACCUAAUCCUUCAAGAGUUAGCCAUUCUGUUUUCCAAUAGAUUUACUGUUCUGUUUUAAUAUUUAGAUCUUUGAUUCAUUUUAUUUUUUAGUGCAUAGUAAAAGACAGGGAUUUAGUUUUAAUCUUUGGCAUGUGGAAAGACAGUUUUUCCAGUACCAUUUAUUAAUUAAAGAGUCUUAUCUUUCCUCCAGUGAAGGUGAUUGGCUUCUUUGUCAAAGAUAAGGUGGCUGAGCAUGUUUGGAGUUGUUCCUAAGUAUUCUAGUAUGUUGCAUUGAUCUUCAGGUCUGUUAUUUUGCUGUUACCAUGUUUUUUAAACACAGUAGUUUUGUCAUACGAUUUCAAGUCAGAAAUUGUGAUGCCCCCUGCCUUUGGUGGCUGGCAUUAGUUUUGCUUUGUAGGUCUCUUCUGGUUCCACACAUUUAGGAGUAUUUUCUCUAAUUCUGUGAGGUAUGCUAUUGGUAUUUUGAUUGGGAUUGCAUUAAAUCUGUAUAACAAUUUUGGAAGUGUGGACAGUUUCACUAUAUUCAUUCUUCCUACACAAGAACAGGGAUAUUGUUCCAUGUUCUGAUAUCUUCUUCAGUCUACUUUUUGUAUUUUUCAAUAUAAAGGUCUUUUACUGCAUUAGAUUGAUUCCUAGGUAUUUCGUCUUUUGAGAUGCUAAUGUGAAAGUUAUUCCCCUGGUUUCUCUCAGUGAGUUUGUUAUUUGUGUAUAGAAAUUGACUUUUGAGUGUUGACUUUGUAUCCAGGUAUUCUACUAAAUUUGGCCAUUGAAUCCGGAGGUGUUUUGGUAGUUUUUUUUUUUUUGAGUCUAUGUAGAGUAGCGUGCCAUUUGCAAAUAAUGAUAAUUUUACUUCUUUCCUCCCUAUCCUUAUUUCUUUCUCUUCUCUAAUUGCUCAGGCUAAUGUUUCCAGAACUAUAUUGAAUAAGAGUAGUGACAGCAAAAUACUUGUCUUGUUUCUAAUUUUAAAGUGAAAGCUUUCACUUUCUGUCCAUUUAGUAUGAUGUUAUCUGUUGGUUUGUCAUAGGUGGCUUGUACCAGAUUGAAAUAAAGACUAAUCCUAUUUUCUGUAAGGUUUUGAUCAUAAAUGGGUAUUGAUUUGUGAAAAGCUUUUUCUGCAUCUAUUAAGAUAGUUCUAUGGUUUUUGUCCUUGAGUCUGUUAAUAUGGUAUAUUACAUUUAUUGACUUAAACAUAUUGAGCCAUCUCUGCAUCCCUGGGAUGAAUCCGAUUCGUCAUGGUGUAUAAUUUUUUGAUGAUUUGAUCCUGUUAUGGAUUAAAGACAUAGUGAACUUAAUACCAGCUAAAUUAAAUCACCAUGGUGCUGAACAUAGAUGGUCCACCUGAAGAAAGUUGCCAGCAUAAAUAGAAAUGUGGAGAAGGAGAAAGGAGGUGUUGUGGCUUCCGCUAAGUGUUGCUGUUUGAGCUGUUGGUUCUGCUGGAGGAGUUCAUUAUGACUAGCUUCCCCAGUGUGAGUUCGACCAUUGUCAUUGGAGGAGCUUGGGACCUUGUUGGUGAGAGUGGCUGUGGUUUACUUUAGGGGAGCUCUGGUCCUUACAUCUAGCAUUGCUUCCGGGCUCCAAUGGGGAGGGCGCAUACCUUGUAAUUUUCAGGACAAACUCCUCAUGCUGGCUUUCUGGCAUGUACUCAACUGUUCUUAUUGUUGGAGGAGUUUGGGACUGCCGUGUUGCUGAGGAUGUCUGUGGUGCUUUUCAGAACAACCCUGAUCUGUAUUAUGAGAGUGACUUCCUGGCUCUGGUGUAGAACCCUCAACCUGCCAGCACAUCUCCUUCAUCCUGUUGGCAUAGACUAUCUAGAUUCCACCGCUGACCUUUGGGUCUUCCCAGCGUGGAUCUAUAAAACAGACUGGCAUGUGUCCUUUUUGUGGGCUCUAGACCUCCAGCUGGACUUGUGGGAGGCAUUGUCAUGGGCUCUAGGUUUUCAUCUGGACUCAUGCAGGACAUUGCUAUGGGAUCCAGGCCCUUGGCUGAAUAUUCUGUCUUUAGUGUUGUGGAUAGAUUUCCUACACUUUCUUAUGUUUUACUCUGGGUGACCAUCAUAAAAUAGUAUUAUAAAUUCUGUGUCCUGAUUCUAACUGUUCUCCUCACAACUCCUGAAUACAACAGAUGCGUUCUGUUUGCUAUUAUGUUACUGAGAAUUUUUGCAUCUAUGUUUAUUAGAGACAUUGGCCUAAAGCUCUCUUUCUUAGUUGGAUUAUUUCUUUGGUUUUAGUAUCAGGAUAAUGCUUGCUUCCAGGAAUGAAUCUGGCAGAAUUACUUCCCUUUCAAUUUCAUUACAGAAUUUGAGAAGUAGUGGUACUAGGUCUUCUUCAAAUUUAAUGUAGAAUUCAGUAGUGAAUCUGUCAGAGUCUGGGCUUUCUUGUGUUGGUAGGUUUUUAAUUAUAUCUUCAAUUUCAUUGAUUGAUACUGGCUUAGUUAGGAUUUUAUACCUUCUUGAUUCAGCUUUGGUAAUUCACACAUAUUUAGGAAUCUCUUCAUUUCUUCUGCAUUUUCUAACUUAUUAGAAUAUAGGUCUCAGCGUAUGUAUUGAUGAUCUGAAUUUCCACAGGGUCUGUUGUGAUUUCACCCUUUUCAUUCCUAAUUUCAUGGAGUUGAGUUUUUUCUUCUUUUUUUUGAUAAGAUUGGCUAAGAGUUUGCCAAUUUUAUUUAAUCUUGCAAAGAACCAACUCUUAGAUUGAUUCUUUGUGUUUUCUUUUAGUCUCCAGUGUGUUAAUCUCGGCUCUGAUUUUAUAAUUUCCUCCCUCAUACAAACUUUUGGCUUAGCCUACUCUUUUUUUUUCUGGAAGUUUAAGGUUCACCAUUAAGUUGUUUAUUUGCAAUUGCUGUGUUUUUCUGGUAUGGAUAUUCACUGCUAUAAAUUCCCUUGUAGGACUGCUUUCAUCAUGUCCUAUAAGCUCUGGUAUGUUGUAUUGUCAUUAUCAUUUAAUUGUAGAAACUGUCUAAUUUCUUCUUUAAUUUCAUCUAUGACCCAUUGAUUGUUCAGGAGGGUGCUAUUUAAUUCCCACGUGUUUUUUGUGAUUUCUUUUGCCAUUGAUUUCCAAUUUUAUUGUACUUUAGUCUGGUAAUAUGCAUGGAAUAAUUUUAGCUCAUUUGCAUUUACUUAAGCAUUAUCUAUGAGCUAGUAUGUUGUCUGCUUUGAAGAAUGUCCCAUGUGCAGCUGAGAAGAAUGUGUAUUUUGAUAUUGUAAGGUGGAACACUCUUUAAACAUCUCCUAAGUCUGUUUGUUCAAAUGUUUGGUUCAGUUCCAGUAUUUAGUUAUUGGUUUUUUCUAGUUGAUCUGGUUUUUUAUGCCAGGGGGUUUUGAGAUCCCCCAAUACAAUUGUAUCUGAGAUUAUUUGAUUUUUUAUGCUCAUUAAUAUUUGUUUUAUAUAGUUGGGUGCACUGGUAUUUGUUGUAUAUAUAUUUAUGAUUUUAUCUCUUCUUGAAUUGUUCCUUUUACAAGGAUGUAGUGACCUUCUUUGUGUCUCAUAAUCAGUCUUGGCUUGAAAUUCACUUUGCUUGCUUUUUUUCUGGGUUCCUAUCUCAUGGAGCAUUGUUUUCCAUCCUUUGAUGUUCAGACUAUAAAUUUCUUUUUGAAUUAAAUGUGUUUAUUGUAUGCAACAUAUUGUUGGAUCUUGCUUCUUGAUCAUUCUGCCAGUCUGUGUCUUUUGAUCAGUGAAUUGAGAUCAUUAACAUUGAUGGUUAUUACUGAUAGGUAUUGGCUUAUUCUUGUCAAUGGAAUAUUUAGUCUCCUGGAUAUCUGUUUGAAUCUGUUUCAUGGAUUCCAUUUCUUUCCUAUGUUGGGCGGUCAUAGUUUCCAUCAUUUUCCUAAGCUCCUCUAUUUUUCUAAAUAAAUCUGUAUCUUCCCCAGAUUCACUAAUCAUGCCCUUCAUUGUAGUCAUCAUCUCUAUAUCUCUAUAGGUAUCUGAGGAAUUCUUUCUUUCUUUUUUUUUUUUUUUGUCUUUUUCAUUUUUAUCAGGUCCAGGGAUCGAACUCAUGACUGCCUGCUUGCAAGGCAGGCGCUUAUGCCGCUGAGCUAAAUCCCCAGCCCCUGAGGAAUUAUUUCUUAUUUGGGUUUUUCUGUAGCCUCAUUCCCUUGCGUUCUUGCUUUCACUGUUACUACUUUAGAGAGUUUAGGGGUGGCUUAAGAAUUGUUCCACCAGAUUUUUCCCUGGGUUUGGUGAGUUGAAAAUCUGCUGUUAAAUCUUACUAAAGUGUCUUCUAAUUUUCUGUUUUAUUGUUUUUUCAGUUUCAUUCCUAUGUUGAUGCUUGUAAGUUGUUUAUGCCAAGUAUCUUUUAUUACUAGUAUUGAGAGCCAUUAGGAAAUGACUGUUUCUCUGAGAUGUCUACAAGAUGUAGCUUGUUUUGGCUGUUGAGUCUUUUGCAAGAUCCUACCUCUUCAAUUUACUUAGGAUGAGAAAUUGCUGUCUAUUUUACUCAAUUCAUGAAGAAGAUAAAAGUUGCAAGAGAUAAAAGCUUACUUUUCAGAACAAAGCUGGUUUCAGGAAAUUUCACCUGAAAUCAGCAUUAAAAUUUAUUACCUACUCCCAUUGUGAACUGUGGUCUACGAAAACUUCUCAGGUGUUCACCUAUAAAAUAAUACCAAGAUAAUUUCCAGAUGUCCAGCAAAGAAGUAAAAACUGUUCCUAAAAGUACAAGAGAUGCAAUCAGAGACACAGAAUAUGAAAAAGUUUUGAAACAUUAUAAGACAAUGUUAAAACAAGAGAAAAAUAACUAUAACUGUUGGGAGCCGCAGCCCCGAGCCCGGUCGCCUUACUUGGCGGACGUGAGGCCUGUGGUAAAGAGCAAAGCCUGAGUUAGAUUACCCCUCCCAUCGAGCACGUUAGUUUCCUGCUUACCGCGUAAGCAACCCGCUCAACAAUAUAGUCUGCCUGGCAACUGAUGAUGUUAGCCAAUCAGCUUGCCUUGCUUACUUUAACAUGAUUGGACACUGUAUCCGUAUAUAUACUGGUGCCACCCCUGGGGGGGAAGAAGAAGCCCGGAAGUAGAAGCCUAGAAGGAGCCGCGGGGAGCGGACCAAAGGAGGCUUCGGCUGGGAGCGAUCCCAGGGCAGGCUGUACGGAGAAGAAAAAUAAAAGAAAAGGUUGUCCACUGCCAGACUUUGUCGUGUGUCCUUCCUGCCGGCCGGGAGCGACAUCGACAUUUGGAGGCCCGCACGGGGACUGAUCACCCCCGAGACGUGACAGCGGACAACGCUCCAGUACAGAGCUGCGAGACAGGAAUCGGGACGAGAACCACUGUGGGUACCGGAGAGACUGACACGGGCGACAAAGCCCUCGACUGAAGAUCAGACCUGCCCUACCGGAGAUCCAUCACAGACCAACCAACAAGAUGAAUAGAAAUAGCGGUAGCCCAAAAUGGACAAAAAGAUCCUCAGGCAUAUGCAUGGCUCGCUCGCCUAGCCUACGACCGAGUCUAGGGGCGGUGAGCUUCCCACACUCCUCCUCUAAAAAAUUAUGACAUAGCUGGGUAGGAGAGUCAAUGACGGGUAAGAGCGUACUCCCCCGGUGCGACUCAACCUAAGCCAGGCCCUACCCCAUCCUGCACGUAAGCCGCUGGACUGUUAGAUGCUGCCCAGGUCUAAAUUUCUCUCCGAGGGGAUUUCUUUACGGAGAGAAAAUGAGUGCAAGCUUGUGUGCAUCCAGGUUCCGUCCAGUUUGUGCCUGGCCCUAGAAAAAGGACGAGGGCCUCAGGGCCUUGACAGACCAUGGGACGGCCGACCAGGGUCUAAGCCAAGGACCUACGGUGGGCCUACACAUAGGGCAUAAGCCUCUGCACCCAGUCCAGGAAGGGCUACGAUGCGCACAUUCAUAAAAAAUAAAAAAGGGGGAGAUGUUGGGAGCCGCAGCCCCGAGCCCGGUCGCCUUACUUGGCGGACGUGAGGCCUGUGGUAAAGAGCAAAGCCUGAGUUAGAUUACCCCUCCCAUCGAGCGCAUUAGUUUCCUGCUUACCGCGUAAGCAACCCGCUCAACAAUAUAGUCUGCCUGGCAACUGAUGAUGUUAGCCAAUCAGCUUGCCUUGCUUACUUUAACAUGAUUGGACACUGUAUCCGUAUAUAUACUGGUGCCACCCCUGGGGGGGAAGAAGAAGCCCGGAAGUAGAAGCCUAGAAGGAGCCGCGGGGAGCGGACCAAAGGAGGCUUCGGCUGGGAGCGAUCCCAGGGCAGGCUGUACGGAGAAGGAAAAUAAAAGAAAAGGUUGUCCACUGCCA